UUGGAGGGCAAGUCUGGUGCCAGCAGCCGCGGUAAUUCCAGCUCCAAUAGCGUAUAUUAAAGUUGUUGCAGUUAAAAAGCUCGUAGUUGAAUUUCGGGGUUAGCAGGUUGGUCGUGCCACUGGUAUGAACUGGCCUUGCUGAUUCCUCCCUCUUGAUGAGCCGUAAUGCCAUUAAUUUGGUGUUGCGAGGAAUCAGGACUGUUACUUUGAAAAAAUUAGAGUGUUUAAAGCAGGCAAGCGCUUGAAUACAUUAGCAUGGAAUAAUGAAAUAGGACGUUUGAUUCUAUUUUGUUGGUUUCUAGGAUCGACGUAAUGAUUAAUAGGGAUAGUUGGGGGCAUUAGUAUUCAAUUGUCAGAGGUGAAAUUCUUGGAUUUAUUGAAGACUAACUACUGCGAAAGCAUUUGCCAAGGAUGUUUUCAUUAAUCAAGAACGAAAGUUAGGGGAUCGAAGACGAUCGGAUACCGUCGUAGUCUUAACCAUAAACUAUACCGACUAGGGAUCGGAUGAUGUUAAUUUUUUAAUGACUCAUUCGGCGCCUUACGGGAAAC
Molecule: ribosomal RNA, 549 nt
Filed under: uncultured Glomus
Lineage: Eukaryota; Fungi; Glomeromycota; Glomeromycetes; Glomerales; Glomeraceae
Description: SSU rRNA
Rfam family: Eukaryotic small subunit ribosomal RNA
Source: RNAcentral